UAAAUGUCUGUAGGAUGGGACUGGA
This 25-nucleotide non-coding RNA is filed under the name Rattus norvegicus (Norway rat). Lineage: Eukaryota; Metazoa; Chordata; Mammalia; Rodentia; Muridae. The record is from RNAcentral.